GGUGGAGUGGUGAAGUAGUUAGCACGCCCGACCGGACCUUGGGAGGGCCAGGGUUCAAGUCCUGGCUCCGCCG
RNAcentral lists this transfer RNA (73 nucleotides) under Ixodes scapularis (black-legged tick). It matches the Rfam family "tRNA". From Rfam's summary of the family: Transfer RNA (tRNA) molecules are approximately 80 nucleotides in length. Their secondary structure includes four short double-helical elements and three loops (D, anti-codon, and T loops). Lineage: Eukaryota; Metazoa; Arthropoda; Arachnida; Ixodida; Ixodidae. The record is from Rfam by way of RNAcentral.